GAAAUAGCUUAUUUUAUUAAUUUUGGUAUAACAGUAGGUACAGUACAAUUAAUAUGCUGCUUUGUCACAGAAAUUAAUCAGCACUAGUAUAUGGUUUAAAUUAUACAGAACCAUACUGUUAAAUAUGUGCAUAUUCUUUUUGGCUGUCUUAAAAAUAAACCCCAAAAAUGUAAAUAAAUACCACCUGGUUCAUUUUUACCACCCCUUGGAAGAAGAUGGAAUAAUUGUCAUAUGUUUUUGAGUUUAUGUUUAGCAGAUUUAUACUACAUAUAUGUAUGUUUUGUUAAAGACCAACAGUCACAAGAUUCUGAAGAGCUAUACAUUAUUGAGCUAGGUUAAUGCCCUUGGAUUAUAUGGGACUAAAGGAUGACAAUAAUCAAUCAAGGUGGAGAGAACCAUGAUGAUCAUUUACUACUACUCCCCCACCAGUCAAAGCCCAGUCAUGAGAAGGAGAUGAAGGUCAUGCACCCACAUAUUGCUUAGCA
Molecule: long non-coding RNA, 485 nt
Filed under: Bos taurus (domestic cattle)
Lineage: Eukaryota; Metazoa; Chordata; Mammalia; Artiodactyla; Bovidae
Description: long non-coding RNA NONBTAT024186
Source: RNAcentral